UUUUGUUUCAAGGAAACCUCAGAGUAUUUUGCUUCUCUUCCUUCUUCUCUGUCUGGUCUCCCUCUUUUAUAACCUGAUUUUCAUGGCUUUGUGGGCUCAAAUGAGAGAGGUCCAAGUCCAAGUUUUUUCUAUUAUAUUUUUUUUUAUUUAUUUUAUUUAUUUUUUAUUUUUUAUUUUUUAUUUUUCGUUUUAUUUUUUGUUUUUUUUUAUUUUUCGUUUUAUUUUUUG
RNAcentral lists this long non-coding RNA (228 nucleotides) under Lathyrus oleraceus (garden pea). Its description in RNAcentral is "Pisum sativum (pea) long non-coding RNA (PSAT_LNC009186)". The record is from RNAcentral. Lineage: Eukaryota; Viridiplantae; Streptophyta; Magnoliopsida; Fabales; Fabaceae.